UAUAAGGGCAAACCGGUCGAAAGGCCGGGACGCAAAGCUUCCGGUCUAAGGAUCCAUGAUCUAGGACAGCGGGGCCGCCA
Molecule: non-coding RNA, 80 nt
Filed under: Aeromonas rivipollensis
Lineage: Bacteria; Pseudomonadati; Pseudomonadota; Gammaproteobacteria; Aeromonadales; Aeromonadaceae
Description: Cyclic di-GMP-I riboswitch
Rfam family: c-di-GMP-I riboswitch aptamer
About the family: GEMM was predicted in a large-scale screen for bacterial structured RNA regulatory elements. Genes associated with GEMM are involved in a diverse array of functions, including chemotaxis regulation, signal transduction, secretion and chitin.
Source: RNAcentral